This 497-nucleotide ribosomal RNA is filed under the name uncultured bacterium. RNAcentral's name for it is "partial 16S ribosomal RNA". It matches the Rfam family "Bacterial small subunit ribosomal RNA", at positions 27 to 506 of the family's 1533-position model. The record is from RNAcentral.
GGACGAACGCUGGCGGCGUGCCUAAUACAUGCAAGUUGAGCGCUGAAGGUUGGUACUUGUACCAACUGGAUGAGCAGCGAACGGGUGAGUAACGCGUGGGGAAUCUGCCUUUGAGCGGGGGACAACAUUUGGAAACGAAUGCUAAUACCGCAUAAAAACUUUAAACACAAGUUUUAAGUUUGAAAGAUGCAAUUGCAUCACUCAAAGAUGAUCCCGCGUUGUAUUAGCUAGUUGGUGAGGUAAAGGCUCACCAAGGCGAUGAUACAUAGCCGACCUGAGAGGGUGAUCGGCCACAUUGGGACUGAGACACGGCCCAAACUCCUACGGGAGGCAGCAGUAGGGAAUCUUCGGCAAUGGACGAAAGUCUGACCGAGCAACGCCGCGUGAGUGAAGAAGGUUUUCGGAUCGUAAAACUCUGUUGGUAGAGAAGAACGUUGGUGAGAGUGGAAAGCUCAUCAAGUGACGGUAACUACCCAGAAAGGGACGGCUAACUACGU